RNAcentral lists this transfer RNA (68 nucleotides) under Marmota monax (woodchuck). RNAcentral describes it as "tRNA.Ser". Lineage: Eukaryota; Metazoa; Chordata; Mammalia; Rodentia; Sciuridae. The record is from RNAcentral.
GGAUUGUGGCUCAGUGGUAGAGCGCUUGCCUAGAACAUGGGAAGCCCUGGGUUCAAUCCUCAGCACCA